RNAcentral lists this long non-coding RNA (730 nucleotides) under Homo sapiens (human). RNAcentral describes it as "novel transcript". Lineage: Eukaryota; Metazoa; Chordata; Mammalia; Primates; Hominidae. The record is from RNAcentral.
GGAAGAGUAUAUAUACAAUGUUGAUCACUCCCUCUCUGGUUCUGUUUUUUCAGGAUUCCCCUGACCUCUACAACAAGUUUGGUUGUCUCAUAUUCUCUCCAGUUCCUUAGGCCAGCUCAAGUUUUAUCAGUAUCUUUUGGACCCAAUGAGUCCUUCCUGGCCUCACUCCAGAAGAAGACUGGCCUCAGUCCAGAGAAACAAAAAAUGUGAAAUUCACCCACUGGAACUCUCCUUCUCCAAGUAUCAGUCUCCUUCCAGAAUUUCCGGCUUCUGGUCUCUUUUCAAGGAAUUUAGAAGUUUCCCAAAUGGCUCUUCAGAUAAUUAAUAUAGUGGAACUUGUACAUGGGAUAGGAAACCAAGUUCCUAAGCAAGUAUGACUGGCUUGAGUAUCACCCUAAACCAAGCAUAGUGUCCAGAAUGAAUCUAAGUAGAAGAAGGGAAGACGAGAAGGACACAAGAAGGAAGACAAGGAAAAAUGUCGACCUCAAAGAACUAGAGGAACAACACUGGAGUUAUACGAAACACCCAGAAUUAGAAUCAGAGCAAUUUGAUUGGAUUUACUACAGCUGAUUCUAGAUACAAGAACUUUACCGAGCCAUUUACAAUUUUUGUGCUUCAAUUUCAUCAUUUUAAAACAGAAAGAAAGCAUUUACCUUAUACGCUUGUUGCUUAGAUUAUAAAGGAAUUAUCUAUAUAAAAAGUACAAUAAAGAAGAAUAUAAAUGUAAGAA